Molecule: ribosomal RNA, 425 nt
Filed under: uncultured bacterium
Lineage: Bacteria
Description: partial 16S ribosomal RNA
Rfam family: Bacterial small subunit ribosomal RNA
Source: RNAcentral
GUGGGGAAUCUUGCGCAAUGGGCGAAAGCCUGACGCAGCCAUGCCGCGUGAAAGAUGAAGGUCUUAGGAUUGUAAAAUUCUUUCACCGGGGACGAUAAUGACGGUACCCGGAGAAGAAGCUCCGGCUAACUUCGUGCCAGCAGCCGCGGUAAUACGAAGGGGGCUAGCGUUGCUCGGAAUUACUGGGCGUAAAGGGCGCGUAGGCGGACAGCUUAGUCAGAGGUGAAAGCCCAGGGCUCAACCUUGGAAUUGCCUUUGAUACUGGCUGUCUUGAGUUUGGGAGAGGUGAGUGGAACUCCGAGUGUAGAGGUGAAAUUCGUAGAUAUUCGGAAGAACACCAGUGGCGAAGGCGACUCACUGGCCCAAUACUGACGCUGAGGCGCGAAAGCGUGGGGAGCAAACAGGAUUAGAAACCCGGGUAGUCC